Molecule: ribosomal RNA, 452 nt
Filed under: uncultured bacterium
Lineage: Bacteria
Description: bacterial SSU rRNA
Rfam family: Bacterial small subunit ribosomal RNA
Source: RNAcentral
GUCCCCGCACAAGCAGCGGAGCGUGUGGUUUAAUUCGAUGAUACGCGAAAAACCUUACCAGGGUUUGACAUGUGGGUGGUAGGAAACCGAAAGGUGACCGACUCUUCGGAGAGCCUUCACAGGUGCUGCAUGGCUGUCGUCAGCUCGUGUCGUGAGACGUUCGGUUAAGUCCGCUAACGAGCGCAACCCUCGUCGUGUGUUACAAGUGUCACGCGAGACCGCCGGUGUCAAGCCGGAGGAAGGUGAGGAUGACGUCAAGUCAGCAUGGCCUUUAUGUCCUGGGCUACACACACGCUACAAUGGUCGGCACAAUUGGUUGCGAAGCCGCGAGGCGGAGCCAAUCCGUAAAGUCGGCCUCAGUUCAGAUUGUAGGCUGCAACUCGCCUGCAUGAAGAUGGAGUUGCUAGUAAACGCAGGUCAGCACUACUGCGUUGAAUACGUUCCCGGGGAUU